UGAGACCCUGAUCUACUGGUACCUGGUGGCAGUUAUUUUGCUACUGGUCAUACUGGUCAUCAUCGUCUGCGUGCUAAGAAGGAAGUACACAGAGAAUCAAAUCAGGACCAGAGACAGGAGCAAUGACACCACAGUUCACACAGCUGAGAGUGAGGGAUCAUACAGCUCAAUUGCUUUCAAGUCAAGAAAGAAGAAAUCAGAACAAAGGAACCUGGAGCAG
Ictalurus punctatus (channel catfish) is the source of this 220-nucleotide long non-coding RNA. RefSeq lists it as uncharacterized. Lineage: Eukaryota; Metazoa; Chordata; Actinopteri; Siluriformes; Ictaluridae. The transcript is spliced from 3 exons. The record is from RefSeq and is a predicted model, not a curated record.